Terrapene triunguis (Three-toed box turtle) is the source of this 667-nucleotide long non-coding RNA. RefSeq lists it as uncharacterized. The transcript has 3 exons. The record is from RefSeq and is a predicted model, not a curated record. NCBI's taxonomy places the organism in Eukaryota, Metazoa, Chordata, Testudines, Emydidae.
ACGGAGCCGGGAAGAGAGCGGCUGGGGGAGCGGGCUGCCCCUGGCUGCUGGAUCUCCGGACUCCCGCCGACUCUCCCCCACUUGCCGGCGUUGGACUGUGAGAGCCACGCACCAGCGCCAGACAGCAACGACCCGCGGGCUCCUGCUGCUUGGCUUGGAUUAAAUUGGCCGCCCCGGAGCCCAGCGAGAGGAGGUGGCGGCGGCGGAGGGAAGCGCCGGUGGCGGCGGGCGGGCAGGCGGCGGCGGUGGCUGCUGCUGGGACUGGGGGAGCCAGCAUGACCAGGCUCUGAAAACACUUCAUCAGAAAUUUCAGACCGGACAGACUCAUAGUGGCUUCUGAGCCAGUGAGACCGAGGCUGCCAAAGCAUGCUGGUGCCAAGCUGUCGGAUGAUGCACGUAGCCAGGCCAGUGGUGGUGCUCCUGUGCUUUCUGCUUUCUGCUGAUGCUGAAACACCGCCAAAGUUUACAAGAACUCCCGUUGAUCAGACAGGGGUCUCUGGAGGAGUCGCAUCAUUCAUCUGCCAAGCUACAGGAGACCCAAGACCUAAAAUUGUCUGGAAUAAAAAGGGAAAGAAAGUCAGCAAUCAGAGAUUUGAGGUAUUAGGUCCAUUGUUCUGUUCCUCUGAAAAACAUUCAUUCUAACAUCACAUUUAUUUUAUGUUUUUAA